CGUGGGUAAAUUUUCUUUGAAAUGUUGCCUAAAAUAAUAAACUGCAGGAUUUUUAAUCAGCAUGGUUAAUACUUUGAGCCCACGUCCAGUAAUGUUUUGGCAUGGUAUUAUAUAAUUUAUUGAGUUUUGUUUUUACUGCUUUUAACAUAUUACACCCUUAUAUGAAGUUACGUUUCGUUUUUAUCGAAUUGAAAAAAAUGUAUGUCCUUA
RNAcentral lists this long non-coding RNA (210 nucleotides) under Mytilus galloprovincialis (Mediterranean mussel). The record is from RNAcentral. Lineage: Eukaryota; Metazoa; Mollusca; Bivalvia; Mytilida; Mytilidae.